GACGAACGCUGGCGGCGUGCUUAACACAUGCAAGUCGAACGGAAAGGCCCUGCUUUUGUGGGGUGCUCGAGUGGCGAACGGGUGAGUAACACGUGAGUAACCUGCCCUUGACUUUGGGGUAACUUCAGGAAACUGGGGCUAAUACCGGAUAGGAGCUCCUGCUGCAUGGUGGGGGUUGGAAAGUUUCGGCGGUUGGGGAUGGACUCGCGGCUUAUCAGCUUGUUGGUGGGGUAGUGGCUUACCAAGGCUUUGACGGGUAGCCGGCCUGAGAGGGUGACCGGCCACAUUGGGACUGAGAGACGGCCCAGACUCCAACGGGAGGCAGCAGUGGGGAAUAUUGCACAAUGGGCGGAAGCCUGAUGCAGCAACGCCGCGUGCGUGAUGACGGCCUGCGGGUUGUAAACCGCUUUCGCCUGUGACGAAGCGUGAGUGACGGUAAUGGGUAAAGAAGCACCGGCUAACUACGUG
This 468-nucleotide ribosomal RNA is filed under the name uncultured bacterium. Its description in RNAcentral is "partial 16S ribosomal RNA". It matches the Rfam family "Bacterial small subunit ribosomal RNA", at positions 28 to 507 of the family's 1533-position model. The record is from RNAcentral.